GGCAGUGUAGUAUAAUGGAUAGGGAAUUGGUCUUGAAACCUAAAGGUCACUGGCUCGAUUCCCCGGUAGGGCACUGCCG
This 79-nucleotide transfer RNA is filed under the name Anguilla anguilla (European eel). RNAcentral's name for it is "tRNA-OTHER". Lineage: Eukaryota; Metazoa; Chordata; Actinopteri; Anguilliformes; Anguillidae. The record is from RNAcentral.